This 200-nucleotide unclassified non-coding RNA is filed under the name Cladophialophora sp. RNAcentral describes it as "partial internal transcribed spacer 2". The record is from RNAcentral. Lineage: Eukaryota; Fungi; Ascomycota; Eurotiomycetes; Chaetothyriales; Herpotrichiellaceae.
UUAAGUUCAGCGCGUAUUCCUACCUGAUCCGAGGUCAACCUUGAGAAGUUUCCUAGUUAAAGGAGAGGACCGUGUCCUGGGCGCCCUUGUCCGAUACGUGCUCAGUUAAAAGCUCAGUGUACCGGGGGAACCACAGGCCGCCGUCAUUGUCUUUAGGAGGGGUCAAUCGCUUGACCAGCCGUCUAACACCAAGCACAGGG